CAGUGGAAGGAGACCUGUGGUGGAAGGCUUCCAGUGAGAUGGGAGUGGGGAGAUGAGGACAGGAAGAGGUGGGAAGGAAUGUCAGCCGAGACGAAAUAUGCGUGAAAGCGCCCGAAGGAAGCCUGACUGGAGAGCACAGAGCCACCAGACACAAGAGACCCUCUCCCUGCCAGGGUGGUAGGCUGAGCUUCGGAGUUGUGGUCCUUGCCUGCCAUGCAGCUCACUCUGAUCAACCAAGUAUGCGCCAAGCUUUUACUGCAGCCUGCGGAUGAGCAGUUAAUGAAGCAACAGCCCAAGUAAGAAAACAGGAGGAUAUGAAAAGCAAGCUGACAAGAUGCAGGAAGGAGCCAGAUCAAAACUAAAAUUAUCAUGGAAAGGAGGACAGCACUGGGGCACAUCGCCCUCCCAUGAGCCUAGCCAUGCAGAGAAAGAGACAGCAACGUGGACACAGCUACUUCCCACCACAGCAGCAACUCCUUCCUGCAAGGUGCUGAAGGAUCUUGGGUCUGAGGAGCAGUGUCGUGGGUAUGGCUUCCUGAUCCUGGAGUGCAGCCAACAUGGAUGAUCCUGGAAUCUGCUGGCUGGAUUCUGAAGCUGUUCCUUGUCAGCUCCUUUGUUACCCCAGUUCUUCAGUGAGCUUCUGGGGAGCAGACACUGAGAAACAAAGCUUCCGAUUUUGAAACAAGUUCCUAAGCACCCAAUUCUUCAUCUUGAAUUCCUUUUCUGAUUUAAAUUACUAUAGUUGCUUCUAUUGUCUGCAAGUUAGGUGUGCCUGAAAUUUUUGCUAGAGAGAAGGAGAGAAAGAAAGUGAACUACGCAGAGCUAUGUGCCAGAGGAAGAGAGAAAUCAAAGAAGAGGCCUGAGUCAUAGUAGGGAAGAGAAGGACACAGGAAAACCUGGAUGGAAAUGGAAAUGCAAGGAAGACGCCAGUGUGCAAAUCAUCAAAAGGUGUGUUCACACGAACCCUGAAAGAUGCAACUUAGGAAAAAAGAGAGUCAAGGUGGGGCUGGAAGUGGGAUCUGGGAGCCAGUGUGCACACCUGCAAUUCCAGCAUCAGGAGACUAGAAGAGGCAGAUCAAGAGCUCCAGGCCACCCUGGGAUGUAUAACAAGACCUGUUGUCCCCCCCUGCCCCCCCAAAAAAACAAGAAAAGAAAGAAAGGAAGAAAAAAUUUAAAAAGGAAGAAGAGAGGGAAGAAAAGAGGAAAAGAAGGGGGAGGAGGGAGGAAGUGAGGAGGAAGAAGAUGAGGAGUCUAUCCCUGCAUUGCUAGCCCACAGUCCGAGGCUGAAGAACGGCUCGAUAAUAAAACUGAAGACUGCUCUGCUGUUAGGGUGAUGGAAAGCUGGGUAGGGUUAGUGGGAGAUGGACGGAAUGCUGUUGAGAAUUGUGGGAAACGACGUGGCACAGACGGGAAAGCAUGACGUUCAGAAGAUCAAGAGCCAGCUCUACCUUCCAGGCUACUUUGGAUCCCAAAGACCAGAACGUCAGUGUGAAAUUCCUAAUAGACUGGAAGAUCCUGGAAAAGCUUCUCUGACCCUUCAACCAUGAUGCAUAAAGGUGGCUCGCCUAUUGAUCAGGUACAGGGUCAUGACCGCUAUGAAACUUAGCCCACAUUCUUUAUGAAUAAAACACUCUCAACAUAUAAAACAGCUGGUGAUGUGCUCAGUGGGUAGAGGGCUGAGCUGGCACCCCAGAGGACCUGGGUUUGACUGCCAGCCCUACCUACGGUGGGGUGGUGGAGGCGCACAGGCCUGUAAUCUCAAGCACUGCAGCCGGGCAAGGGGAAGGAUAAAGAGCUGGUAUCAGACUCCUCCACCUGACCGGAUCUCAGAAGCACAGAAAGUGCCGUCCACAGGCCGUGCGUGCGCUGGAAGGGCUUUGCAGCUUUUGUCGGUUGCUGUUGUUCAAAGCGACCAAUGAGAAGCUUUGGCAACAGAACAAGGGAGGUGAGAUUAUAAUGAUUCUAUUUAUAAGUCAGAAAAGUUCCUUGGGAUAUUUCUAGACUAUGGAGAGCUUGGCAGACACCCAACAUGAGAGCCAGGACCUUGAACUAUGUACAUGCAAUUAAUUAAAUAACCAGUGCGUCCACCUGGACUGGUGGAUGUGACUGAUUCGCUGUGAGCUGCCAAGUGAGUGCCCAUAGGCAGAGGAUAAUGACCCCAGACGAGGACAUUUAUAGCUCUUGGCGUGAGUUCUGACUCCUUGUUUCCUCCUCAACCUUCCUGAGGGUUUCAGGCUUUCAGAAAGCAACUCAUUUAUAGGAUUCAGUCAUCAGAAUGAGGCAUGCAAAAUUAUCCUCUUCUACUCUGCACAUCCUGGUCCAGAGUCAGCGGCUUCUCCCUGACAGCUCCUCGGGCACACGGACUUCCUGAGGAUGCCACAGAACUUCGCUCCCUCUGGACCCAGCUUAGCUCCCAGCCUGGGGCAAGACCCAUAAGAUUAGUCCAAAGGACCAAUUAGUCCAGGAACAUAGUCAGACUUCAGAAAGAGCCCGGAACUGAUGAAAGUGCUGUCACCAUGUCCCUGGCACCUAAUGAGGUACCUGCCCCUUGCCUGACGUUGUGCUUAAAUCCCAUGGUGUUUCUUGAUCCUACCUCUCAUCAUGCAUAAAAAUCAAUUCAACAUGGAUCAAAACCCUACGUGUAAGAUGCCAGCCCACGACACUAUUAGAAGAAGUAGGAUAAAUCCUUCAAGACAUUGGGCUAGGCAAAGACUUUUCCAUAAGACCCCAGAAGCACAGACAACAAAAGUAAAAAUAGACAAAUUAGAAGAUAAAAAAAAACUGAGACGAUUCUGCACUGCAAAUAAUAAUAAUCAUCAUCAUCAUCAUCAUCAUCAAGAUGAAGAGACAACCUGCAAACUCUCUCCAGACUACUCACUGAUAAGAGACUAAAAUCCAGAUUCCACAAGGAACUCAAAAUGUUCAGGAGAAAGGAGAAAAUGAAUCUCAUUUAGAGACGGGUAAAUAAUUUGAAUAGACACUUCUCCUAAGAAUACAUACAAAAGACAAGAGGUGUACGAAGAACGUACAACAUCCCUAACCAUCGAGAUCAGAACCACAGUGAGCUACCAUCUUACCCUGUUACUGUGUCGGCAAAAAUAACAAAUGUAGUGAGGAAAUGGUAACCCAUCCAUCCACACAUGCAUGGCUUGAGUACUGGGGGUUCAGUCCUCAGGGUGGGAGUGUACAGGGUGGUAAUUCCUUUAAGAGGUAAGACCUUGUAGGAGUGCCUUAGGCCAACUUUUGGUAUGUCCUCUGGAAAGAUUAAGGGGUUCACUCAAGGGUGAGUUUUUAGCCAGUCAAGAUGGCUCAACAGGUAAAGGUGUUUGCAACACAGCCUGGCAACCUGAGUUCAAGACCCCGAACCUGCAUAAAGGUGCAAAGAAAUAAUCAGCUCUACCAAGCUGUCCUCUGACUUCCACGUGUACUCUAUGGCACAGUACAUGCACACAGCAAGGAAAACAAUAAAGAUGCUGGAGAGGUGCCUCAGAGGUUAAAAGCACUGGCUGCUCUUCCAGAGAACCUGUGUUUAAUUCCGGCACCCACAUGGCAGCUCACAAUCAUCUGUAACUCCCAGGGGACACACUUUUUUCUGGUCUCAGCAGGGGCUACAUGCAUAGUGCACAGACAUAUAUGCAGGCAAAACACCCAUACAUACUAAAUGAAUGAAAAAAUGAAUGAAUGAAUGAAUGAAUGAAUACAUAAAUAAAUAAAUAAAUAAAAUUUUGGGAAACAGAAAA
Peromyscus californicus insignis is the source of this 3740-nucleotide long non-coding RNA. RefSeq lists it as uncharacterized. The transcript is spliced from 3 exons. The record is from RefSeq and is a predicted model, not a curated record. NCBI's taxonomy places the organism in Eukaryota, Metazoa, Chordata, Mammalia, Rodentia, Cricetidae.